UCUAAAGAUACUGCCCCGGUUAACGGGGAGGAAGGUGGGGAUGACGUCAAGUCCUCAUGGCCUUUAUGUCCAGGGCUACACACGUGCUACAAUGGGUUGUACAAAGGGUUGCGAACUCGCGAGAGUAAGCCAAAUCCCAAAAGCAACUCUUAGUUCGGAUUGGAGUCUGCAACUCGACUCCAUGAAGCUGGAAUCGCUAGUAAUCGUGGAAUCAGCAUGCCACGGUGAAUACGUUCCCGGGCCUU
This 245-nucleotide ribosomal RNA is filed under the name uncultured Desulfobacteraceae bacterium. RNAcentral describes it as "partial 16S ribosomal RNA". It matches the Rfam family "Bacterial small subunit ribosomal RNA", at positions 1139 to 1382 of the family's 1533-position model. The record is from RNAcentral. Lineage: Bacteria; Pseudomonadati; Thermodesulfobacteriota; Desulfobacteria; Desulfobacterales; Desulfobacteraceae.